GCUGGCUCAGUUGGUAGAGCAUGUGACUCUAGAUCUCAGAGUUGUGAGUUCAAGCCCCAUAUUGGGCA
RNAcentral lists this transfer RNA (68 nucleotides) under Felis catus (domestic cat). It matches the Rfam family "tRNA". From Rfam's summary of the family: Transfer RNA (tRNA) molecules are approximately 80 nucleotides in length. Their secondary structure includes four short double-helical elements and three loops (D, anti-codon, and T loops). Further hydrogen bonds mediate the characteristic L-shaped molecular structure. tRNAs have two regions of fundamental functional importance: the anti-codon, which is responsible for specific mRNA codon recognition, and the 3' end, to which the tRNAs corresponding amino acid is attached (by aminoacyl-tRNA synthetases). tRNAs cope with the degeneracy of the genetic code in two manners: having more than one tRNA (with a specific anti-codon) for a particular amino acid; and 'wobble' base-pairing, i.e. permitting non-standard base-pairing at the 3rd anti-codon position. The record is from Rfam by way of RNAcentral. Lineage: Eukaryota; Metazoa; Chordata; Mammalia; Carnivora; Felidae.